UACGUAGGGUGCGAGCGUUAAUCGGAAUUACUGGGCGUAAAGCGUGCGCAGGCGGUGCGCCAAGCUCGAUGGGAAAGCCCCGGGCUUAACCUGGGAAUUGCAUUGAGGACUGGCGUGCUCGAGUGCGGCAGAGGGGGGUGGAAUUCCACGUGUAGCAGUGAAAUGCGUAGAGAUGUGGAGGAACACCGAUGGCGAAGGCAGCCCCCUGGGCCGACACUGACGCUCAUGCACGAAAGCGUGGGGAGCAAGCAGG
Molecule: ribosomal RNA, 253 nt
Filed under: uncultured bacterium
Lineage: Bacteria
Description: partial 16S ribosomal RNA
Rfam family: Bacterial small subunit ribosomal RNA
Source: RNAcentral